GGGAUCCUAGAUUAAUGGUAGAUCACUCGCUUUGCAUGCGAGGAAUAUCGGUUCAAUUCCGAUGGAUUCCA
This is a transfer RNA of Candida tropicalis MYA-3404, 71 nucleotides long. It matches the Rfam family "tRNA". Rfam says of the family: Transfer RNA (tRNA) molecules are approximately 80 nucleotides in length. Their secondary structure includes four short double-helical elements and three loops (D, anti-codon, and T loops). Lineage: Eukaryota; Fungi; Ascomycota; Pichiomycetes; Serinales; Debaryomycetaceae. The record is from Rfam.